UACGUAGGAGGCAAGCGUUGUCCGGACUGACUGGGCGUAAAGCGCGCGCAGGCGGCGCGGGGCGUCGGUGCUGAAAUCGGGACCGGCUUAACGGCCCGCGGCGUGCCGAUACGCCCGCGCUGGAGGGUGGGCGAGGGUGGUGGAAUUGCCGGUGUAGUGGUGAAAUGCGUAGAGAUCGGCAGGAACACCCGUGGCGCAAGCGGCCACCUAGCCCAUUCCUGACGCUGAUGCGUGACAGCGUGGGGAGCGAACUGG
This 255-nucleotide ribosomal RNA is filed under the name uncultured bacterium. RNAcentral's name for it is "partial 16S ribosomal RNA". It matches the Rfam family "Bacterial small subunit ribosomal RNA", at positions 524 to 776 of the family's 1533-position model. The record is from RNAcentral.